AUUGAACGCUGGCGGCAUGCUUUACACAUGCAAGUCGAACGGCAGCACGGGGGCAACCCUGGUGGCGAGUGGCGAACGGGUGAGUAAUACAUCGGAACGUGCCCAGUCGUGGGGGAUAACGUAGCGAAAGUUACGCUAAUACCGCAUACGAUCUACGGAUGAAAGCGGGGGACCGUAAGGCCUCGCGCGAUUGGAGCGGCCGAUGUCAGAUUAGGUAGUUGGUGAGGUAAAGGCUCACCAAGCCGACGAUCUGUAGCUGGUCUGAGAGGACGACCAGCCACACUGGGACUGGGACACGGCCCAGACUCCUACGGGAGGCAGCAGUGGGGAAUUUUGGACAAUGGGCGCAAGCCUGAUCCAGCCAUUCCGCGUGCAGGACGAAGGCCUUCGGGUUGUAAACUGCUUUUGUACGGAACGAAAAGGCUCUGGUUAAUACCUGGGGCUCAUGACGGUACCGUAAGAAUAAGCACCGGCUAACUACGUGCCAGCCUCCGCAGUAA
Molecule: ribosomal RNA, 500 nt
Filed under: uncultured bacterium
Lineage: Bacteria
Description: partial 16S ribosomal RNA
Rfam family: Bacterial small subunit ribosomal RNA
Source: RNAcentral